ACGAGCUUGUUGUUAGUCUCAACUAUCCGUGUUCCACAACUCACCGAGAGAUGAAAAUUUUGCUACUAUGUCGUGGUUUGCUCGCUAAACAUCACAUAUAUGAGUUUAGCAUCCUGAAAGGGUCGUAUCAUUUAAGUGCAGUUUUUGGCCCAAAUUCUACUAGUGGAAGGUUUGGGUUCUACCUCCAGCCGUUUCUUUUUUAAGCGGGUUCUACCCUUCCCUUCCCAAAUUUCAUUCAAGAUGUUUUGUACAACUUCCAUGUGGCAUCG
This 269-nucleotide long non-coding RNA is filed under the name Gossypium barbadense (sea-island cotton). Its description in RNAcentral is "long non-coding RNA (GBAR_LNC022495)". The record is from RNAcentral. Lineage: Eukaryota; Viridiplantae; Streptophyta; Magnoliopsida; Malvales; Malvaceae.